GUAACAAAUAGGACCAGGUACGAGGUUGUUCUCCAGCAAAGCACCUCAGAUAUGUUUCCAGGGAUCGGUUUGUGAACUCGGUUUGGCCGUUGGAUUGAGGGUGAUAAGAUGAACUGAGGCAAAGAGUGUUCCCUCACCCACCCCGUUGCUUGCAACAGGACCACAAAAAUAAAAGGGGAAAAUGAGAUGGGACUUUAUCAUAAGUACAAUUGACGAGCACUCUAGUACAAACAGAAAACCCACCCAGCAUCAAACAAAAAGUAGGGUAUAAACCAAUUCAAAAUCAUACCAUCCUAUGAAAAAUGCAUUAUGCCGACACCAAUGCAUUAGAAAAUGAGUUAAAAAAGAUGCCAAGUUUUAAUUUGAUACUCAUAAUAGUGUGACAAAAGAUAUCAUGUAUGACCUUUUCCCAAACAAACAUUUUAUACAGCGGUUCCACAAAUGCAUCCUAGUAUCCUACUCUUACAGGUUCAAUUAGAAAAUUUUGCUUCAUCUUUUUUUGGAACAUUGGAAGUGAAAAGGGGAAAACGAAGAACGUCAAGCUUGUGAACUAAGCAUAACCCAGAAAACCAUAGAAAAAAGGAAACUAGUUUUCUCUUCUAUUCAUAUAAACUAUCAAAUCAGUCAAGAGUCCAUAUGGGAAAAAGAAUAAGAGAGUUACCUUGAGGACUUGAUCCAUUUACCAAAAGGGUAUUUCCCCUCAUAAACGCUGUUUUGCUCCCCCGCAUGAAUGCCCUCUCUGCAGCCUCUUUGUUUCUCCUCAUGCUUUGUUUUCUCCACCCCAAUGACGCGCCUCUGUUGGAUCUUCACGGUGGAUGAGAGUGAGAGACAGAUAGGCGAGGUUGAAGGAAGGAACGAAUGAGUCGUGAGAAUGAGCUACUAGCAUCACAUUCCGGAUUAGUUUGGGCAAUGAAAAAAGUACCUUUCAGAAUGAUGAAACGAGAAGAUGGCUUCAUGGCUUCUCGCGGAAUCAUUAUGGAAAGCGACUCAGCGACAGCCAUU
RNAcentral lists this long non-coding RNA (1002 nucleotides) under Lotus japonicus. RNAcentral describes it as "long non-coding RNA (LJAP_LNC000857)". Lineage: Eukaryota; Viridiplantae; Streptophyta; Magnoliopsida; Fabales; Fabaceae. The record is from RNAcentral.